This 82-nucleotide transfer RNA is filed under the name Providencia rettgeri. RNAcentral's name for it is "tRNA-Glu". The record is from RNAcentral. Lineage: Bacteria; Pseudomonadati; Pseudomonadota; Gammaproteobacteria; Enterobacterales; Morganellaceae.
GUGUCCCCUUCGUCUAGAGGCUUAGGACAGGUCUCCGCCCUUUCACGGCGGUAACAGGGGUUCGAAUCCCCUAGGAGCGCCA